RNAcentral lists this transfer RNA (69 nucleotides) under Ictidomys tridecemlineatus (thirteen-lined ground squirrel). Its description in RNAcentral is "Spermophilus tridecemlineatus (thirteen-lined ground squirrel) tRNA". It matches the Rfam family "tRNA". From Rfam's summary of the family: Transfer RNA (tRNA) molecules are approximately 80 nucleotides in length. The record is from Rfam by way of RNAcentral. Lineage: Eukaryota; Metazoa; Chordata; Mammalia; Rodentia; Sciuridae.
GGGGUUGUAGCUCAGUAGUAGAGUGCUUGCUUCACAGGCAUGAGGCACUGGAUUCAAUCCUCAGCACCA